GAUGAACGCUGGCUACAGGCUUAACACAUGCAAGCCGAGGGGAAACGGCAUUGAGUGCUUGCACUGAAUGGACGUCGACCGGCGCACGGGUGAGUAACGCGUAUCCAACCUUCCCGUUACUGCGGGAUAACCUGCCGAAAGGCAGACUAAUACCGCAUGUUCUUCGAUGACGGCAUCAGAUUCGAAGCAAAGAUCCGUCGGUAACGGAGGGGGAUGCGUCUGAUUAGCUAGUUGGCGGGGCGACGGCCCACCAAGGCGACGAUCAGUAGGGGUUCUGAGAGGAAGGUCCCCCACAUUGGAACUGAGACACGGUCCAAACUCCUACGGGAGGCAGCAGUGAGGAAUAUUGGUCAAUGGGCGGAAGCCUGAACCAGCCAAGUAGCGUGCAGGAUGACGGCCCUACGGGUUGUAAACUGCUUUUAUGCGGGGAUAAAGUGAGGGACGCGUCCCUUUUUGCAGGUACCGCAUGAAUAAGGACCGGCUAAUUCCGUG
Molecule: ribosomal RNA, 492 nt
Filed under: uncultured bacterium
Lineage: Bacteria
Description: partial 16S ribosomal RNA
Rfam family: Bacterial small subunit ribosomal RNA
Source: RNAcentral